RNAcentral lists this long non-coding RNA (332 nucleotides) under Elaeis guineensis (African oil palm). Its description in RNAcentral is "long non-coding RNA (EGUI_LNC049174)". The record is from RNAcentral. Lineage: Eukaryota; Viridiplantae; Streptophyta; Magnoliopsida; Arecales; Arecaceae.
CUACGACUAAUUACAGUAAAUAAGACUAACAGAGAAAAUAAACUAUCUGCUAACUAGCUGCAGUAAAUAAAAUAAAAUAAGAGUAGAGCAAACCAAAAAUAAAAGGAUUACUAACAGAAAGAAAUAAAACUUAACUAAGAAAAAUGCAAUAAAUAAAAUAGGAACAAAGUGGAAUAGAUAGAACUGAACUAAACGAAACAAAGUGGAAUGUACAGAUCAGAACAAAGAGAAAUAGAUAGAACUAAAUUAGUUUAACUAAGAGUAGAUAAAUAAAAUAAAACUACUUAAUAUAAAACUAAUAAAAUAAAAUAAAGUAUAAUACUUAAACAACA